GCCCAAGAGAUCGGGAUAACACCUGGAAACAGAUGCUAAUACCGGAUAACAACAGAUGAUGCCUAUCAACUGUUUAAAAGAUGGUUCUGCUAUCACUNUUGGAUGGACCUGCGGUGCAUUAGCUAGUUGGUAGGGUAACGGCCUACCAAGGCGAUGAUGCAUAGCCGAGUUGAGAGACUGAUCGGCCACAUUGGGACUGAGACACGGCCCAAACUCCUACGGGAGGCAGCAGCG
Molecule: ribosomal RNA, 234 nt
Filed under: uncultured Lactobacillus sp.
Lineage: Bacteria; Bacillati; Bacillota; Bacilli; Lactobacillales; Lactobacillaceae
Description: partial 16S ribosomal RNA
Rfam family: Bacterial small subunit ribosomal RNA
Source: RNAcentral